UACGGGGGGAGCAAGCGUUGUUCGGAUUUACUGGGCGUAAAGGGCGCGUAGGCGGCCAGGGCAUGUCAGUUGUGAAAUCUCCGGGCUUAACUCGGAACGGUCAACUGAUACUGCGCGGCUAGAGUGCAGAAGGGGCAACUGGAAUUCUCGGUGUAGCGGUGAAAUGCGUAGAUAUCGAGAGGAACACCUGCGGCGAAGGCGGGUUGCUGGGCUGACACUGACGCUGAUGCGCGAAAGCCAGGGGAGCGAACGGG
Molecule: ribosomal RNA, 254 nt
Filed under: uncultured bacterium
Lineage: Bacteria
Description: partial 16S ribosomal RNA
Rfam family: Bacterial small subunit ribosomal RNA
Source: RNAcentral